ACGGGUGAGUAAUGCUUGGGAACUUGCCUUUGCGAGGGGGAUAACAGUUGGAAACGACUGCUAAUACCGCAUAAUGUCUUCGGACCAAACGGGGCUUCGGCUCCGGCGCAAAGAGAGGCCCAAGUGAGAUUAGCUAGUUGGUAAGGUAACGGCUUACCAAGGCGACGAUCUCUAGCUGUUCUGAGAGGAAGAUCAGCCACACUGGGACUGAGACACGGCCCAGACUCCUACGGGAGGCAGCAGUGGGGAAUAUUGCACAAUGGGGGAAACCCUGAUGCAGCCAUGCCGCGUGUGUGAAGAAGGCCUUCGGGUUGUAAAGCACUUUCAGUUGUGAGGAAAAGUUAGUAGUUAAUACCUGCUAGCCGUGACGUUAACAACAGAAGAAGCACCGGCUAACUCCGUGCCAGCAGCCGCGGUAAUACGGAGGGUGCGAGCGUUAAUCGGAAUUACUGGGCGUAAAGCGCACGCAGGCGGUUUGUUAAGCUAGAUGUGAAAGCCCCGGGCUCAACCUGGGAUGGUCAUUUAGAACUGGCAGACUAGAGUCUUGGAGAGGGGAGUGGAAUUCCAGGUGUAGCGGUGAAAUGCGNAGAUAUCUGGAGGAACAUCAGUGGCGAAGGCGACUCCCUGGCCAAAGACUGACGCUCAUGUGCGAAAGUGUGGGUAGCGAACAGGAUUAGAUACCCUGGUAGUCCACACCGU
RNAcentral lists this ribosomal RNA (699 nucleotides) under Alteromonas sp. enrichment culture clone DMS11. RNAcentral's name for it is "bacterial SSU rRNA". It matches the Rfam family "Bacterial small subunit ribosomal RNA", at positions 102 to 803 of the family's 1533-position model. The record is from RNAcentral. Lineage: Bacteria; Pseudomonadati; Pseudomonadota; Gammaproteobacteria; Alteromonadales; Alteromonadaceae.